Molecule: ribosomal RNA, 384 nt
Filed under: Voragocoris sp. UCRC ENT 00038404
Lineage: Eukaryota; Metazoa; Arthropoda; Insecta; Hemiptera; Schizopteridae
Description: partial large subunit ribosomal RNA
Rfam family: Bacterial large subunit ribosomal RNA (bases 159-318)
Source: RNAcentral
GAGAAGACCCUAUAGAGCUUAAUAAAAUAAUUUCUAAGCUAAAAAUUAUUUUAUUAAAUURKSKUGAUUUUAAUUUUUAAUUAACAAUUAUUUUUUUUUUCAAUAAUUUUUGAUUUUUUGAUCCAAUUUUUUUGAUUAUAAGAUUAAGCUACCUUAGGGAUAACAGCGUAAUUUAUUUGGAGAGUUCUUAUUAAUAUUUAAGUUUGCGACCUCGAUGUUGAAUUAAGAUAUAGAUUAGGAGAAGAUUCUUAUAUUUUUUGGUCUGUUCGACCAUUUAUUUCUUACAUGAUUUGAGUUUAGACCGGCGUGAGCCAGGUCGGUUUCUAUCCUUAAUAUAAUUAUUAUUUUUUAGUACGAGAGGACCAAAAAUUUAAUAAAAAUUUU